Long non-coding RNA from Passer domesticus (house sparrow), 3043 nucleotides. RefSeq lists it as uncharacterized. NCBI's taxonomy places the organism in Eukaryota, Metazoa, Chordata, Aves, Passeriformes, Passeridae. The record is from RefSeq and is a predicted model, not a curated record. The transcript is spliced from 2 exons.
GUCCCAGCCUGGAGCUGCAGGGGCUGCUGUGACCCAAGGGCAGGGCCCAGCACUGGGCCUGGCUGAGCCUCACACAACCGGCCCUGGCCCAUGGAUCCAGCCUGUGCAGAUCCCUCUGCAGAGCCCCUGCCCUCCAGCAGCUCAGCACUCACACCUUGGCAUCAUCCUUUGCCCCUCAGGACCUCUUCCCAAGGGGUUCUGUCAAGAGGCUCCUAAACAGGCUGAACUCUGCCCUCGAAAACUCCAAGAUCAAUACUGACUGCUUUUCUGGAAAAAUGUUCUAACCAAAGACAAGUUAGUAGGCUCAACCCUGGAGUCAAGCAAGAAAUUCGGUGACUGCAUAUUACACAGAAGAUUAAGCUGGACUGCUGUCAUUAUAUUUUGUUGAAGAAGGUGAAUGUCCAAACUAAAAGAGAUGUUGUGUGGGAUUCACUAUUCAGAUAAAGCAGAACUGAACAGUAAUCUGAGACUUGGACCCUUUGCCACAGUUAGCAUUGACUAUUGAGGGGGGAAAAGGAUGGUAUUACCAGCAUAAAGAUUCUGUGUAUCAGGAGAGCAGGUUUUGGCAGUUGGCAUGUGUGGGAGCUUGAAGUCUGCCCUGGAAGAUAAAAUCUUCAAGGGCAGCCUCCUCAAAGCACCAGAAUGAUCCAUCUUGAUCUACACAAAACAGGCCAGCAUGGCCAGGGGCCAGGUUAGCUCAACAUGGAACUGUGAGUAAUAGCACUGAAACACUGUCCAGGCAUCCAAGGAUUGAAGUAAGAAGGCCAUAUCCCAGCUGGAGUUAAAACUGGUAAGGAAUGUCAAGAGCAACACUUAGUAAGAGAAAAUAAUACUUUCAGCAAGAGGAAGACCAAGGUUAACACAGGAUUGCUGCUGAACGGACAGGAGUUGUGCUAGAGACUCUAGGAAAAGUUCAGAUGCUCAAUGUUUGCCUCAGUUUCCAUUGGCAAAGAGCAAUUCCAGGUUUCCAUGACUUCAUAGGCUGGAGAGCUGGGCAUAGUGAAACCUAAUGAGGUUUAACAAGGGAAAUUGUAGGGUCCUGCACCUGGGGAGAGAGAACCCCAAACACCAGCAGAGGAUGUGGGCUGACCUACCAGAGAGCAGCACUGCAGAGAAGGGCCUGGGAGCUUUGUUGGAUGACAAGCUGGCCAUGAGCCUGCAAUGUGACCUUGCAGCCAGGAGGGACAGUGGUAUCCUGGGGUGCAUCGGGAAGAGUGUGGCCAGCAGGUUGAGGGAGGUGAUCCUUCCCUCUACUCCACCCUGGUGAGGCACCUGUGGAGUGCAGAGUCCAGUUCUGAGUUCUUCAAAACAAGAAACACAUGGAGUUCCUGGAAUAGGUCCAGUGGAGGACACAAAGAUGAUUUGGGGUCUUGGGCAUCCCUUUUAUUACAAGAGACUGCAGGAAGUUUAGCCUAUUUAUUCUGAUAGAAGAAAUCUGAGAGGGAAUCUCAUUAAUAUGUAAACAUAUCUUAAUGGAGAAGAUGGUGCCAGACUCUUGUCAGUGGUGCCAUGUGACAGGAGAGGGAGCAUUGACUAUAAACUAAAACACAAGUUUCACCUCAACAUGUGUGACAACAACUUUGUGUUGAAGGUAGCAGAGCACUGGAACAGUUUCCAAUUCAGGGUGGGGAAUCUCCCUCUCUGGAGACAUCCAAAACCACCUGGAUAUGUUCCAGAUGUAAAAAUAUCUUAAUGGAGGACGACAAGAAGAUGGUGCUGGACUCUUAUUGGUGGUGCCCUGGGACAGGAGAGGGAGCAUAAACUAAAGCACAAGAAGAUUCACCUCAACAUGAGGAAGAACUUUGUGUUGAAGGUAGCAGAGCACUGGAACAGUUCCCAAUGGAGAGUGUGGAGUCUUCCUCUCUGGAGACAUCCAAAAUGACCUGGAUAUGUUCCUGUGUUACCUGCUCCAGGUGACCCUGCCUCGGCAUAGUGGUUGGACAGCAAGAUAUGCAGAGCUCCCUUCCAAUUGUAAUGAUUCUGUGAAGUCAGAAAGACAGAUGGUUAAUGAGGAGUUUCCUUGGGAUCAGUACGAGUAGUUAACACCUUUGCCAGCAGUCUGAACUAUAGGAUGAACCAAGCCCUCACCAAAGCAAAAUAACUGCAUGCAGCAGUACAGGCUGGGGGUGGCAAUGUAGCAGCUCUGCAGAAAAGGGCAAGACUCUUGUUCACACAAGGCAGGCAUGUGUCAUCUUGCCAACCCAGGACAAUCAAACGCUGGUCCUCAUUAGCAAAUCUGUAACCAGCAUGUUUUAAGAAUGACCCUCUAUCUGGCACACUCAUAUGCCAGAGUCAUAUGAGGUCAUAUAGUUUUGUGUUCAGUUCUGGCCUUCAAGUACAAGAAAACCCACAAUGAAAAACCAUGCAAUGAAAAAACAUUGAGUUUGGAAGGCGAUGACAAAGAAAGAAUGCAGGAAUAUAUCAUAUAUACAUUAUUCUGGAAAAGACCAGGAUAAAUAUUAUUUCAGCUUCCAUCUACACCAUAUUAGAGCUGAUAGAAGUUGAAUGCUCUCAGGGAUACACACAGAGAGACAGGAGGUCAUAGUUUCAAUAUGUGGCAAGAGAAAUUUUCAUUGCACAAAAGGGAAUAAUAAACAACAUAACAAUAAAAAUUGUUAAGUGCUGAGACAGGUUGCUAAGAGAGAUGAGAAAGGUCUUAAUGUCUGGACAUCUUCAAAACUUAGCUGAAAAAAAAAAAAAACAAACUGAGCAAAAUGAUUAAGAUCUGCAUCAUUCUGUGUUCAGCAUAUAUUUGGAUGGUCUUCAAAGAUUGCUUCAAGCCUAAUUUUUUCUGUGAGUUCUUUUGACUUUAAAAUCCAUGAAUCUGUGUUUUUCUUUGAUGAAAUAGUGAAGAGUUUAAAGUGCAUUCCACUGCUUUUAUGGGAAGGAUUUUGCAUGUAAAUGUCAACAUUUUCUGUUCCCACUGUUAAGAGACAAAAUGGAUGUACAUAUUCAUUGCACUUUAGUAAAAUCAGUCUUUACAAGUGCCUGUAUCUAUGAACAGUGUAGGAUGGAUAAUAAAAGGUUUUUUUCCUGCUGUAAA